This 270-nucleotide ribosomal RNA is filed under the name uncultured archaeon. RNAcentral's name for it is "partial 16S ribosomal RNA". It matches the Rfam family "Archaeal small subunit ribosomal RNA", at positions 477 to 747 of the family's 1478-position model. The record is from RNAcentral.
CAGCACCUCAAGUGGUCAGGAUGAUUAUUGGGCCUAAAGCAUCCGUAGCCGGCUCUGUAAGUUUUCGGUUAAAUCUGUACGCUCAACGUACAGGCUGCCGGGAAUACUGCAGAGCUAGGGAGUGGGAGAGGUAGACGGUACUCGGUAGGAAGGGGUAAAAUCCUUUGAUCUAUUGAUGACCACCUGUGGCGAAGGCGGUCUACCAGAACACGUCCGACGGUGAGGGAUGAAAGCUGGGGGAGCAAAUCGGAUUAGAGACCCGUGUAGUCC